RNAcentral lists this transfer RNA (77 nucleotides) under Litoribacillus peritrichatus. RNAcentral describes it as "tRNA-Pro". It matches the Rfam family "tRNA". From Rfam's summary of the family: Transfer RNA (tRNA) molecules are approximately 80 nucleotides in length. Lineage: Bacteria; Pseudomonadati; Pseudomonadota; Gammaproteobacteria; Oceanospirillales; Oceanospirillaceae. The record is from RNAcentral. RNAcentral also lists the same sequence under 4 other names.
CGGAGUGUAGCGCAGCUUGGUAGCGCAACUGGUUUGGGACCAGUGGGUCGGGGGUUCGAAUCCCUCCACUCCGACCA